Molecule: ribosomal RNA, 594 nt
Filed under: Triticum aestivum (bread wheat)
Lineage: Eukaryota; Viridiplantae; Streptophyta; Magnoliopsida; Poales; Poaceae
Description: partial small subunit ribosomal RNA
Source: RNAcentral
CUGGACCAUUCCAUCCCUUAUUCUUGUGGCUAUGCAUCGGAUUCGGAUGACGAAGGUCCCGAUGAACAAGUUGAUGAGGAGGGGUUCACGGUGAAGGAGGCCGAACCUUUCGAGAAGGUAUUCGGGCGGGAUCACCGGACUACAUUGUUCAAGGAUGUUAGUCUCGCGGAUGAAGCCGUGGUAGAUGGUGGCCAAGGUAUAUCUCUUGGGGUUAGGCUAAGAUCUCACCGUGAUUUGGAAGACGGCAAGAACGGGAUUGCUAAAGUGUCUAAGUUCGAGACCUUCUUGGAAUUGAAGAUGUGUCUCGACAACUACUCGGUUACGCAUUAUCGUCCACACAAGGUGGUGAACUCGGACGUCAAUGUGCGCUACACGGUUGCAUGUGCAUUUGAAGAUGAAGAAUGUCCGUGGAUUGUGCGUGCAAGACCAUGGAAAGGAGGUCCCACUUGGCACGUAGUGAGUUGUGUGCCAACUCACAUGUCCCGAGGCAAAAGGGUGGAUGGCAAGGUUGUGUCCCAAGAGACCACAGACAACUCACGUCCAAGUUCAUCGCUUACAGGCUCUCCAACUCAAUAUCCACACUUCCAACAAUGA